RNAcentral lists this ribosomal RNA (482 nucleotides) under uncultured bacterium. RNAcentral's name for it is "partial 16S ribosomal RNA". It matches the Rfam family "Bacterial small subunit ribosomal RNA", at positions 28 to 523 of the family's 1533-position model. The record is from RNAcentral.
GAUGAACGCUGGCGGCGUGCUUAACACAUGCAAGUCGAACGGUGAAGGAGAGCUUGCUCUCCGGAUCAGUGGCGAACGGGUGAGUAACACGUGAGCAAUCUGCCCCUGACUCUGGGAUAAGCGCUGGAAACGGCGUCUAAUACCGGAUACGAGCUGCGAAGGCAUCUUCAGCAGCUGGAAAGAAGUUCGGUCAGGGAUGCGCUCGCGGCCUAUCGGCUAGUUGGUGAGGUAAUGGCUCACCAAGGCGUCGACGGGUAGCCGGCCUGAGAGGGGGACCGGCGACACUGGGACUGAGACACGGCCCAGAGUCCUCCGGGAGGCAGCAGUGGGGAAUAGUGCGCAAUGGGCGCAAGCCUGAUGCAGCAACGCCGCGUGGGGGACGACGGCCUUCGGGUUGUAAACCUCUUUUAGCAGGGAAGAAGCGAAAGUGACGGUACCUGCAGAAAAAGCACCGGCUAACUACGUGCCAGCCGCCGCCGUAA